UGGAAGCCCGUCUGAAAUUUGUGCUCAGGCCUGUUUCUAUGACUAGGUGAGCAAAGUUUCAGGUGUGUUGCCGU
Lingula anatina is the source of this 74-nucleotide non-coding RNA. NCBI's taxonomy places the organism in Eukaryota, Metazoa, Brachiopoda, Lingulata, Lingulida, Lingulidae. The record is from Rfam.